GUUCCGAAUGACGCUGAGGGACACGCACCCAUGUGGAAGAAGAAAUCUAUAUUUUGGGACCUACCCUACUGGAAAGAGCUAGAGGUCCGCUCUUCAAUCGAAGUGAUGCACGUGACGAAGAACCUUUGCGUGAACCUGCUAGGCUUCUUGGGCGUGUAUGGGAAGACAAAAGAUACACCUGAGGCACGGGAGGACUUGCAACGUUUGCACGAAAAAGACGGCAUGCCUCCGAAGCAGUAUGAAGGUCCUGCCAGCUACACUCUUAUGAAAGAAGAGAAAGAAAUCUUCUUUGAAUGCCUGCUCAGUAUGAAGGUCCCGACUGGCUUCUCGUCGAAUAUAAAGGGAAUAAUAAAUAUGCCAGAGAAAAAGUUCCAGAACCUAAAGUCUCAUGACUGCCACGUGAUUAUGACGCAACUGCUUCCGGUUGCAUUGAGGGGGCUUCUACCGGAAAACGUCCGAUUAGCCAUUGUGAAG
Molecule: ribosomal RNA, 474 nt
Filed under: Triticum aestivum (bread wheat)
Lineage: Eukaryota; Viridiplantae; Streptophyta; Magnoliopsida; Poales; Poaceae
Description: partial small subunit ribosomal RNA
Source: RNAcentral